RNAcentral lists this ribosomal RNA (439 nucleotides) under uncultured bacterium. RNAcentral's name for it is "partial 16S ribosomal RNA". It matches the Rfam family "Bacterial small subunit ribosomal RNA", at positions 339 to 795 of the family's 1533-position model. The record is from RNAcentral.
CUACGGGACGCUCCAGUGAGGAAUAUUGCACAAUGGGGGGAACCCUGAUGCAGCAACGCCGCGUGGAGGAUGACGCAUUUCGGUGUGUAAACUCCUUUUAUAUGUCAAGAAAAUGACGGUAGCAUAUGAAUAAGCACCGGCUAACUCCGUGCCAGCAGCCGCGGUAAUACGGAGGGUGCAAGCGUUACUCGGAAUCACUGGGCGUAAAGGACGCGUAGGCGGGUUGGAAAGUCAGGUGUGAAAUCCUACAGCUUAACUGUAGAACUGCACUUGAAACUUCUAAUCUAGAGUAUGGGAGGGGGAGAUGGAAUUAGUGGUGUAGGGGUAAAAUCCGUAGAUAUCACUAGGAAUACCUAAAGCGAAGGCGAUCUCCUGGAACAUCAUUGACGCUGAGGCAUGAAAGCGUGGGGAGCAAACAGGAUUAGAUACCCUAGUAGUC